CGUAUUAUAUGCAAGGCAUCUUCUAGGUGGUGGACGAUGAACAAAAGACGAAAAUACCUAUACUCAUGGAGCUUCUAUGCUAGUGAAAAGAGAUGGAUAAUAUCAAGUUUAAAUGGCAGUAGCGAGGUCAUACAUUCCCCUCCUCCACCCCCUGCUGUCCUAGGUGUGAGUCGAAGGACGGGAGUUGGCACAGCAAAGUGCCUCACAAAACGGUGCGUGUGGUCAAGAGGACCUUGCCUCCGCUGUCAGCGUGCCUGGGGAAGGUAACUUACACUAAACUGUGAGUAGAUACCCAGCCAGCAUCCAGCCAUGGACAUCUCUGCUGCAACUCUCCCUACCAAGAGAUGCCAAAGCUGGGCUUUCUUAAAGUGGUAUGGGAAGAGGAAAUGAGAUGUGGGAAAAAUUAAGACUUUUGGGGGGUUGUUUUAUUGCUCGGACGUGGUUUAUCUGAAAUUUUGCGAACUUGAUAUGCUAUUGUGUUAACGCAUCCAGGCUGCAGAGUUCAAAAAGAGAUGGUUUGUUUGAAAUUAUGGCACCAAAAUGUGUUUCCACUUAAGAUUUUACAAAACAAAUGCUUUGGAGAUUUGGAGAAGGGCACAGCACGGAAAGAAAGAUCUUUCACAUUUUAAUGUUAACAUUCACUUCUCGGCGCUCAGAGGAAUUCAGCCCAGUACAGUGCGACAAUCACAUCUGUGGAGCCCGUUUUGGAUUCAUCUCGGUCUUGAGUGGAACGUUCAGAAAUGCCCAGGAGAGUUUUGUUCCUCUGCAAAGUGAACCUACUUCGCUAGGAAGACACUUCUGAAAUAAGACCGUUACUUUCUUGAAAUGUCACUAGACCGGAAUAUAUUGUGAAUUGUGUGUCCCUGGACUCCCUUGUUUAAAAAAUGUAAAACCAUGAAAUUAAUCAACCGAUCAAAAAUGUGUUUCCAAGUGAACAGUUUGCUCUCUA
Panthera uncia (snow leopard) is the source of this 949-nucleotide long non-coding RNA. RefSeq lists it as uncharacterized. The transcript has 3 exons. NCBI's taxonomy places the organism in Eukaryota, Metazoa, Chordata, Mammalia, Carnivora, Felidae. The record is from RefSeq and is a predicted model, not a curated record.